UACGAACCGAGCGAACGUUGUUCGGAAUCACUGGGCUUAAAGGGCGCGUAGGCGGGCCGCCGCGUCCGGGGUGAAAUCCUCCCGCUCAACGGGAGAACGGCCUCGGAUACGGGCGGCCUGGAGGGGGGUAGGGGCGUGCGGAACUGUGGGUGGAGCGGUGAAAUGCGUUGAUAUCCACAGGAACUCCGGUGGCGAAGGCGGCACGCUGGACCCCACCUGACGCUGAGGCGCGAAAGCCAGGGGAGCAAACAGG
RNAcentral lists this ribosomal RNA (253 nucleotides) under uncultured bacterium. RNAcentral describes it as "partial 16S ribosomal RNA". It matches the Rfam family "Bacterial small subunit ribosomal RNA", at positions 524 to 776 of the family's 1533-position model. The record is from RNAcentral.